GUAGGCAAGUUUAACUCCCAAGCCCCCCCAAACCGUCUAUUGUACUAAUAAACUCUUAGGUGAACCUGCGGAAGGAUCAUUACUGAGUUAGGGUCUUCUAGGCCCGACCUCCAACCCUUUGUCUAUUUUACCUCUUGUUGCUUCGGUGGGUCCGUCCCCUCUAGAAAUAGAGGACGACCGCCGGAGGGUUUACCGCCCUCUGGCCCGCGCCCACCGACGGCCUCAACCCAAAACUCUUGUUUAAACAUGA
RNAcentral lists this unclassified non-coding RNA (250 nucleotides) under plant metagenome. RNAcentral describes it as "partial contains small subunit ribosomal RNA, internal transcribed spacer 1, and 5.8S ribosomal RNA". The record is from RNAcentral.